CACACAGCGGUGAAGAAGAAAUAAAUCAACUGCUGUGUUGGAGAGACGACCAACUGGUCCCACUCUUUCAUGUGUUUCAGGGAAUAUUCUACAUGCCAGGAUGGAACCACUGCCCAACCACUGGAUUCCUGCAGGGAAGGUGAAGAAACCCAAGGAAGAGGCCGAAGUCGCAGAGUAGGGCACAGACGACACAGAGCCUGGAGCAAGCACGGUGGAGAGCUCCAUGAGGCCAAGGCAUCCAGAGCAUCCCUCCAUCCCAACAUUGGCAAAUGACCAUCAUCAAGCACCUCAGGCCUUUCUCAGUGUUGCUGGACAGGCUUCGAGCAGGGGUCUCCAAUUAAAAUAGAGUAAGGUCCGCUGAUGCAGGUUCUUUUCACAGCUAAAAUCUGGACCUUAUGUUGCCUUAAAAUUAUGUCAAACAGACUAGCUCAUAUGAAUAUCACAUGGAAUUAGAGCUGCAAGUAGCGUUGAACGGGGGCCCUCGCACCCCCAUGCAACUCGAGGGCACACAGACGCAGGUCUUGAAGCCAGUUUUCCUGGUUUGAAAAAGAUUGUUGGGUGACCUAACUCACCGUAAAGAAUUUUGAGGUAAUUUUACUAUGUUUAUUUUUUUUUACCAGGAGGGGGCGAUACUGGUGCCAAGGUUACCAUGUAAUUUGAGCAGUUGGUUGUGCCAUUGGAGUGUGAUGGUGUAAUGGUGAUUGUACCUGCUGACAACGUUUGCAAUACUGCUAAGUAUGAACCGGCCACUGAAAGUUAAUUUUGGAACAGAUUGGAUUGCUACAUGUGUAUAUGUAUAUACAUAUAUAUUUGUAUAUAUG
Doryrhamphus excisus (bluestripe pipefish) is the source of this 821-nucleotide non-coding RNA. The record is from RefSeq and is a predicted model, not a curated record. NCBI's taxonomy places the organism in Eukaryota, Metazoa, Chordata, Actinopteri, Syngnathiformes, Syngnathidae.